GCACUGAUCCACGACAAUGCCCCGUGAGUGAUGAAGGCCUUAGGGUUGUAAAGCUCUUUUACCCCGGACGAAAAAGAAAUGUACCGGGAGAAUAAGGGGCGGACUAAGUCCUUGCCAGACAACCGCCGGGGAGU
Molecule: ribosomal RNA, 134 nt
Filed under: uncultured Sphingomonas sp.
Lineage: Bacteria; Pseudomonadati; Pseudomonadota; Alphaproteobacteria; Sphingomonadales; Sphingomonadaceae
Description: partial 16S ribosomal RNA
Source: RNAcentral